Molecule: non-coding RNA, 21 nt
Filed under: Caenorhabditis elegans
Lineage: Eukaryota; Metazoa; Nematoda; Chromadorea; Rhabditida; Rhabditidae
Source: RNAcentral
UAACAUUAUGCUUUCUGCAAU